This 446-nucleotide ribosomal RNA is filed under the name uncultured bacterium. Its description in RNAcentral is "partial 16S ribosomal RNA". It matches the Rfam family "Bacterial small subunit ribosomal RNA", at positions 338 to 795 of the family's 1533-position model. The record is from RNAcentral.
CCUACGGGUGGCAGCAGUCGAGAAUCAUUCACAAUGGGGGAAACCCUGAUGGUGCGACGCCGCGUGGGGGAAUUAAGGUCUUCGGAUUGUAAACCCCUGUCAUGUGGGAGCAAAUUAAAAAGAUAGUACCACAAGAGGAAGAGACGGCUAACUCUGUGCCAGCAGCCGCGGUAAUACAGAGGGCUCAAGCGUUGUUCGGAAUCACUGGGCGUAAAGCGUGCGUAGGCUGUUUCGUAAGUCGUGUGUGAAAGGCGCGGGCUCCACCCGCGGACGGCAGAUGAUACUGCGAGACUAGAGUGAUGGAGAGGGAACCGGAAUGCUCGGUGUAGCAGUGAAAUGCGUAGAUAUCGAGCGGAACACUCGUGGCGAAGGCGGGUUCCUGGACAUUAACUGACGCUGAGGCACGAAGGCCAGGGGAGCGAAAGGGAUUAGAUACCCCAGUAGUC